Molecule: ribosomal RNA, 245 nt
Filed under: uncultured bacterium
Lineage: Bacteria
Description: partial small subunit ribosomal RNA
Rfam family: Bacterial small subunit ribosomal RNA
Source: RNAcentral
AGAAUCAACGCUGGCGGCGUGCCUAACACAUGCAAGUCGAACGAGAAAGUGGAGCAAUCCAUUAGUAAAGUGGCGCACGGGUGAGUAACACGUGACUAACCUACCCUUGAGUGGGGGAUAACCUAGAGAAAUCUGGGCUAAUACCGCAUAAUACCUUCGGGUCAAAGGAGCAAUUCACUUAAGGAGGGGGUCGCGGCCGAUUAGUUAGUUGGCGGGGUAAUGGCCCACCAAGACUAUGAUCGGUA